UACGUAGGGUGCGAGCGUUGUCCGGAAUUAUUGGGCGUAAAGAGCUCGUAGGCGGUUUGUCGCGUCGAAUGUGAAAUCCCGGGGCUCAACCCCGGGCCUGCAUUCGAUACGGGCAGACUAGAGUUCGGUAGGGGAGUCUGGAAUUCCUGGUGUAGCGGUGAAAUGCGCAGAUAUCAGGAGGAACACCGGUGGCGAAGGCGGGACUCUGGGCCGAUACUGACGCUGAGGAGCGAAAGCGUGGGGAGCAAACAGG
Molecule: ribosomal RNA, 253 nt
Filed under: uncultured bacterium
Lineage: Bacteria
Description: partial 16S ribosomal RNA
Rfam family: Bacterial small subunit ribosomal RNA
Source: RNAcentral